This 339-nucleotide unclassified non-coding RNA is filed under the name soil metagenome. RNAcentral describes it as "partial contains 5.8S ribosomal RNA, internal transcribed spacer 2, and large subunit ribosomal RNA". The stretch from base 1 to 120 matches the Rfam family "5.8S ribosomal RNA", at positions 35 to 154 of the family's 154-position model. The record is from RNAcentral.
GAUGAAGAACGUAGCGAAAUGCGAUAAGUAAUGUGAAUUGCAGAAUUCAGUGAAUCAUCGAAUCUUUGAACGCACAUUGCACCUUUUGGUAUUCCAUGAGGUAUACAUGUUCGAGCGUCGUUACACAAUUAAGACUCCGUCUUGCGUUGACGCCUCCGGCCGACGAGGCCGGAGCGUCGAAAACGAUUGGCGCACGUGCCUCGUGACGAACCCGAUAACCUGGGACGAGUCGCGAGGGGCGGGCCGCCGGGGGAUCGACCCCCCAAACCUUAUUCAUACGUUCGACCUCGAAUCAUGUAGGAUUACCCGCUGAACUUAAGCAUAUCAAUAAGCGGAGGA